AGAGUUUGAUCAUGGCUCAGAUUGAACGCUGGCGGCAGGCCUAACACAUGCAAGUCGAACGGUAACAGAAAGCAGCUUGCUGCUUUGCUGACGAGUGGCGGACGGGUGAGUAAUGUCUGGGAAACUGCCUGAUGGAGGGGGAUAACUACUGGAAACGGUAGCUAAUACCGCAUAACGUCGCAAGACCAAAGAGGGGGACCUUCGGGCCUCUUGCCAUCGGAUGUGCCCAGAUGGGAUUAGCUUGUUGGUGGGGUAACGGCUCACCAAGGCGACGAUCCCUAGCUGGUCUGAGAGGAUGACCAGCCACACUGGAACUGAGACACGGUCCAGACUCCUACGGGAGGCAGCAGUGGGGAAUAUUGCACAAUGGGCGCAAGCCUGAUGCAGCCAUGCCGCGUGUAUGAAGAAGGCCUUCGGGUUGUAAAGUACUUUCAGCGGGGAGGAAGGGAGUAAAGUUAAUACCUUUGCUCAUUGACGUUACCCGCAGAAGAAGCACCGGCUAACUCCGUGCCAGCAGCCGCGGUAAUACGGAGGGUGCAAGCGUUAAUCGGAAUUACUGGGCGUAAAGCGCACGCAGGCGGUUUGUUAAGUCAGAUGUGAAAUCCCCGGGCUCAACCUGGGAACUGCAUCUGAUACUGGCAAGCUUGAGUCUCGUAGAGGGGGGUAGAAUUCCAGGUGUAGCGGUGAAAUGCGUAGAGAUCUGGAGGAAUACCGGUGGCGAAGGCGGCCCCCUGGACGAAGACUGACGCUCAGGUGCGAAAGCGUGGGGAGCAAACAGGAUUAGAUACCCUGGUAGUCCACGCCGUAAACGAUGUCGACUUGGAGGUUGUGCCCUUGAGGCGUGGCUUCCGGAGCUAACGCGUUAAGUCGACCGCCUGGGGAGUACGGCCGCAAGGUUAAAACUCAAAUGAAUUGACGGGGGCCCGCACAAGCGGUGGAGCAUGUGGUUUAAUUCGAUGCAACGCGAAGAACCUUACCUGGUCUUGACAUCCACAGAACCUUGUAGAGAUACGAGGGUGCCUUCGGGAACUGUGAGACAGGUGCUGCAUGGCUGUCGUCAGCUCGUGUUGUGAAAUGUUGGGUUAAGUCCCGCAACGAGCGCAACCCUUAUCCUUUGUUGCCAGCGGUCCGGCCGGGAACUCAAAGGAGACUGCCAGUGAUAAACUGGAGGAAGGUGGGGAUGACGUCAAGUCAUCAUGGCCCUUACGACCAGGGCUACACACGUGCUACAAUGGCGCAUACAAAGAGAAGCGACCUCGCGAGAGCAAGCGGACCUCAUAAAGUGCGUCGUAGUCCGGAUUGGAGUCUGCAACUCGACUCCAUGAAGUCGGAAUCGCUAGUAAUCGUGGAUCAGAAUGCCACGGUGAAUACGUUCCCGGGCCUUGUACACACCGCCCGUCACACCAUGGGAGUGGGUUGCAAAAGAAGUAGGUAGCUUAACCUUCGGGAGGGCGCUUACCACUUUGUGAUUCAUGACUGGGGUGAAGUCGUAACAAGGUAACCGUAGGGGAACCUGCGGUUG
RNAcentral lists this ribosomal RNA (1522 nucleotides) under Escherichia coli. Its description in RNAcentral is "bacterial SSU rRNA". It matches the Rfam family "Bacterial small subunit ribosomal RNA". The record is from RNAcentral. Lineage: Bacteria; Pseudomonadati; Pseudomonadota; Gammaproteobacteria; Enterobacterales; Enterobacteriaceae.